RNAcentral lists this ribosomal RNA (406 nucleotides) under uncultured bacterium. RNAcentral describes it as "partial 16S ribosomal RNA". It matches the Rfam family "Bacterial small subunit ribosomal RNA", at positions 29 to 526 of the family's 1533-position model. The record is from RNAcentral.
AUUGAACGCUGGCGGCAUGCCUAACACAUGCAAGUCGAACGAGUGGCGGACGGGUGAGUAAUGUCUGGGAAACUGCCCGAUGGAGGGGGAUAACUAGUGGAAACGGUAGCUAAUACCGCAUACCAUCGGCUUGGCCCAGAUGGGAUUAGCUAGUAGGUGGGGUAACGGCUCACCUAGGCGGCGAUCCCUAGCUGGUCUGAGAGGAGGACCGGCCACACGGGAACUGGGACACGGUCCAGAGUCCUACGGGAGGCGCCAGUGGGGAAUAUUGCACAAUGGGGGCAAGCCGAAUGCAGCCAGGCGGCGUGUAUGAAGAAGGCCUUCGGGUGGUAAAGUACUUUCAGCGGGGAGGCGUUACACGCAGAAGAAGCACCGGCUAACUCCGUGCCAGCAGCCGCGGUAAUUC